Acanthosepion pharaonis is the source of this 114-nucleotide non-coding RNA. NCBI's taxonomy places the organism in Eukaryota, Metazoa, Mollusca, Cephalopoda, Sepiida, Sepiidae. The record is from the annotation of a GenBank genome assembly.
UUGCGGCCAGGUCACGCUGAAACACUGGUUUCCAAACGAUCACUUAAGUUAAGCAAUGUUGAACCUGGUCAGUACCUAGAGGGGUGACUGUUUGGGAAUAUAAGGUGCUGUAAG